AUAUCUCUCCGUACGGGAAGGAUGAGAAGCUUCGACUAAGGUUCGAUUCGAGCGCAGCGAGAAAGCGUUGCCGCA
RNAcentral lists this small RNA (75 nucleotides) under Salmonella enterica. RNAcentral describes it as "partial RtT sRNA". It matches the Rfam family "RtT RNA", at positions 1 to 75 of the family's 130-position model. From Rfam's summary of the family: This family represents a bacterial cis-regulatory element known as RtT RNA. The exact function of RtT is unknown although it is thought that it may be involved in changing the cellular response in relation to amino acid starvation. RNAcentral also lists the same sequence under 2 other names. Lineage: Bacteria; Pseudomonadati; Pseudomonadota; Gammaproteobacteria; Enterobacterales; Enterobacteriaceae. The record is from RNAcentral.